Phrynosoma platyrhinos (Desert horned lizard) is the source of this 70-nucleotide non-coding RNA. NCBI's taxonomy places the organism in Eukaryota, Metazoa, Chordata, Lepidosauria, Squamata, Phrynosomatidae. The record is from the annotation of a GenBank genome assembly.
GGUGGUGUAGUAAUGGUUUGAGCGUUGGACUAUAACUCUGGAGACCAGGGUUCGAAUCCUGGCUCAGCCA